This 649-nucleotide ribosomal RNA is filed under the name uncultured bacterium. Its description in RNAcentral is "bacterial SSU rRNA". It matches the Rfam family "Bacterial small subunit ribosomal RNA", at positions 76 to 720 of the family's 1533-position model. The record is from RNAcentral.
GUGCUUGCACCUGAUGGCGAGUGGCGAACGGGUGAGUAAUGCAUCGGAACGUGCCCAAUCGUGGGGGAUAACGCAGCGAAAGCUGUGCUAAUACCGCAUACGAUCUACGGAUGAAAGCGGGGGACCUUCGGGCCUCGCGCGAUUGGAGCGGCCGAUGUUAGAUUAGGUAGUUGGUGGGGUAAAGGCUCACCAAGCCGACGAUCUAUAGCUGGUCUGAGAGGACGACCAGCCACACUGGAACUGAGACACGGUCCAGACUCCUACGGGAGGCAGCAGUGGGGAAUUUUGGACAAUGGGCGAAAGCCUGAUCCAGCAAUACCGCGUGCAGGAAGAAGGCCUUCGGGUUGUAAACUGCUUUUGUACGGAACGAAAAGGUCUGCCUUAAUACGGUGGGCUCAUGACGGUACCGUAAGAAUAAGCACCGGCUAACUACGUGCCAGCAGCCGCGGUAAUACGUAGGGUGCGAGCGUUAAUCGGAAUUACUGGGCGUAAAGCGUGCGCAGGCGGCUUUGUAAGACAGACGUGAAAUCCCCGGGCUCAACCUGGGAAUUGCGUUUGUGACUGCAAGGCUAGAGUACGGUAGAGGGGGGUAGAAUUCCGCGUGUAGCAGUGAAAUGCGUAGAUAUGCGGAGGAACACCGAUGGCGAAG